Ciona savignyi (Pacific transparent sea squirt) is the source of this 119-nucleotide non-coding RNA. The record is from Rfam. NCBI's taxonomy places the organism in Eukaryota, Metazoa, Chordata, Ascidiacea, Phlebobranchia, Cionidae.
GCUUAUCUUCCUUCCAGAUUGAAUAUACCCGAUCUCGUCUGAUCUCGGAAGUCAAGCAAUCUCGGGCUUGGUUAGUACUUGGAUGGGUGACCGCUUGGGAAUACCAAGUGUGAUAAGCA